CUAGUCUUACGGGGGGCAGCAGUGGGGGAUAUUGCACAAUGGGGGGAACCCUGAUGCAGCGACGCCGCGUGGAGGAUGAAGGUUUUAGGAUUGUAAACUCCUUUUGUAAGAGAAGAUUGUGACGGUAUCUUACGAAUAAGCACCGGCUAACUCCGUGCCAGCAGCCGCGGUAAUACGGAGGGUGCAAGCGUUACUCGGAAUCACUGGGCGUAAAGAGCGCGUAGGCGGGUGGUCAAGUCAGAUGUGAAAUCCUGUAGCUUAACUACAGAACUGCAUUUGAAACUGAUCAUCUAGAGUAUGGGAGG
This 305-nucleotide ribosomal RNA is filed under the name uncultured bacterium. Its description in RNAcentral is "bacterial SSU rRNA". It matches the Rfam family "Bacterial small subunit ribosomal RNA", at positions 333 to 655 of the family's 1533-position model. The record is from RNAcentral.